RNAcentral lists this transfer RNA (75 nucleotides) under Sarcophilus harrisii (Tasmanian devil). It matches the Rfam family "tRNA". From Rfam's summary of the family: Transfer RNA (tRNA) molecules are approximately 80 nucleotides in length. Their secondary structure includes four short double-helical elements and three loops (D, anti-codon, and T loops). The record is from Rfam by way of RNAcentral. Lineage: Eukaryota; Metazoa; Chordata; Mammalia; Dasyuromorphia; Dasyuridae.
UAGUAUGUGGUGUAAUGAAUGGGAGCACAAAGGGUUUUGAGUUCUUUGGUAUAGGUUCGAGUCCUGUUGUCCUAG